UAGUAUGGGGGAGUCUGCCCGAGUAGAGGGGGAUAACUACUGGGAAACGGUGGCUAAUACCGCAUAAUGUCUACGGACCAAAACAGGGGGCUCUUCGGACCUUGCACUAUCGGAUGAAUCCAUAUGGGAUUAGCUAGUAGGUGGGGUAAAGGCUCACCUAGGCGACGAUCUCUAGCUGGUCUGAGAGGAUGAUCAGCCACACUGGGACUGAGACACGGCCCAG
This 223-nucleotide ribosomal RNA is filed under the name uncultured bacterium. Its description in RNAcentral is "partial 16S ribosomal RNA". It matches the Rfam family "Bacterial small subunit ribosomal RNA", at positions 113 to 334 of the family's 1533-position model. The record is from RNAcentral.